CUGAGAGAAGAAAAUACUCGUGUGAAUUAGUUCCUUGAGUAUAAAAGACUCUGGUAAAGAUUUUGUUACAUGCCUCCUAUUAAAUACCUAAUUGCUCACACAAUAUAAGGCUAACUUCGGGACCCACCUUCAACACCAGCUCCUGAAAUGAGACACAACUAUUUAACUGAACUGACCUGUCCUCAAGAUUAAGAGGCAGAUCCCGCUUAUGCAGUUCACCCAGCCAGCACCACGGCAAUGCUGCAGAGGACACCGAAUGCCUGACUGGGGUGGAUCGGUCCCAGCUGCCCUGAGCAAGUCCCUUCCAGGGGAAGCGAAGGGCAGAUGCUAUCCCAGGCAGCCCCAGGACAGAUCGUAGCAUCUGGCAACCACUCGCCAUGCCAACACAGCUAGGGACCUAAUUUGGGAGCGCCAUGGGCCGCGGAGGCUGGGAAACCUGUUCUCAGGACUUGAGACCAACCACAAUUCGAAACACCCUGUGAUGCGGCGCGCCAUUACUGCCCUAAGAGAUAUAAACCCUUUCAGCGGUAACACAUUUAAGAAUCCACUUAGGAACGUCUAAGCCUGGACAGAUUCUUUAUGGACUGUGUCAGGGUGACAGACUUACCGAAAGAUGAUGUUUUCCAAGUCAAAUGGAUACUCAAUGAUGCCUGUUGUGGGCACUCGGACGCGAAGCACAUCCUGCUGCGUUGGCACGAACGAUGGCAUGGCGAUCCGGUCAAUGUCAGUCAGGUAACUGAUGUCAGAGAACAAGAUGCUGAGGAGGGAGGAGUGCCCCUCCCACGCCAGGGCAGUCACCCCCAUCACAGCGACCCCCACUCAGAUUCAUCAGGGACUUUUGUGAGAGCCAACACUCCAGCCCUCCUGCAACUGUGUGGAGAGACGGUGGAUCAGAAGCCUUCGUGGGCCUUCCGGGAAAUCUGCAGAUCUCGCCUCUCCUCCUCAUGGUUCUCAGCCCCAUCCCUCUGGCCGGUGAGGGGGCCAGUGGGGCCACAGGAGGAGGAGGUUGGAACUGGCUCUCGGACAUCUCAUCUGUCCUCCUCCACCCCAGGGCCCUUCUGCCUCCCACACGCCCUCAUCCAAGAACAUUAGAUGCUGAUGCUGAUUUUGGACACUUGGCUCAAUGAAUUAGCGCUUUUAAGAAAACAUAAAGACAUAAAACAGGCCAGUGGGAAGUCCUCUCAAAAUAAGAAAAAGUUCCUUGUUACACUGGGAAAUCAAACACCUCCUAAAAUAACCCAAAACGUGUUUGGAUUAUUUUUUGGCCAAAUAUUAAAGCCCUAAGCUUAAAACAUGUCACUUUUUCUGUGGCAAAACAAGAGGACGCGUCUGCUUUUUCAUCUUAAGGCCUUUUAAAAAGGCACUUUUGAGUAAAUAACUGAGGCCGUGGCCCAUGACAGCGUUGGGGGCUUGGAGCACCCUGCACACGGAGGCCUCCCCCCUCCCCCCGUCCCCACACACCUCCCCCCUCCCCCUGCACAGCCAGAGCUCACCCGGGUCCGCUAGGGCUGAACAGGUGGCACGGAGGGGAGCCAAGAGUAACCGGCAAACCCCAUUCACGUGCAGCCCUCAGCACAGGAAGCACACCACUGGGUCAGCCUUCUCUGCCCCACACCCUCAUUCUGGCCUCAGGGCUAUCGUCAUGGACUUCCGUGUGUGACAUUUUGAUUUAUACCUGUCUCCUUCCAGACGGUCGGUUCCUUCAGGGCAGAGGGCACUGGUUGUACCUGUAGCCCUUACCUCCGUGUCUGGCACACAGCAGACACACGCCGCACUUCUGUGAGAUGAAUGCCUGUCCCAAUAAGCAGACAGCUCCAGCAGCGUGGAUGACAGCCACUGACCUGGGCCUUGCUAGUGCAGAGGCGGGGCACGGUCCGGGUUUGUGAGUGCCAUUUCCUCUGUUGCAGCUCUGUGCCCCACCUCAUCCCUCCCCACAUUCUUCUCAAUGGACUUGCCCCAGUUUUCAGGGCUCCACUGACUUCUACAGCAGGCCCAAUGAGUCGCCUCCAAGUUGAUCUACAUCAAGAGCACCAGCUACUCUCCAGGGCCUUCGCAGAAGCGAAUGACACAGCCGUCCCAGGGAAGGGCCAGGGCCGCCCUGGCUGACUUGGAGCCGUCCCUGGCGCCCCAGCUGUCAAAGGCAGUCUGCCCUCUUCCUGGGAUAUGCCUUCCUUCCUGCCAGCUGUCUUACAUGCUGAUCCAACAGCUUAUCGGGGCUUCUCUUCUUUCCUUUUCCUGCUUUGCUGCAAUGUUGGACCUAAAUGUUCCCGGACUCAGAUUGGUUGUGCUAACCUGGAUUAACGCCAUUCAACACAGCCUCGGACAAAUGUCAGAGGGAGGCCAGUGAAUCUGAGGAGGUAAGAUUCUGGUUUGCUUUCCUGCCCGCUGGCUUGUCCAGAUGAUGGGUGAAUGACCCACCCACAGGAGAGCAAUGACAGCAACUGAAGAGAAGGGGACGGGUCUGGGGAAGGGAUUCCAGGGCCCUCAGAGGGUGGAAAUGACACCGAGCAAGAGGGAAGGAGCUGAGCUGCAGAAGCAGGAAUCCUCACCCCUUCAAGAAGGACCAUGGUCCAGCUAUUUGCUGAGAUCUGGCUGACAGAGGCAGUGCCUUGGGAGAUUCUUAAGAAAAUCAAAUUAUGUGAUCUCUGUGGGAUAGUUUGCAUGCAGAACCACCUAUUUCUUUUUACCUUAAUGGAUUACUGAUUUAAAACUAGAGUCUUAUGGAUCCAAAAUAAAUAUAAUGUGUCUGCAAACAAACGGCUCCCAGGCUGAGCUUUCUCCUUGGCUGGGCCCGCAGAGCCUAUCUCUCCCACUAGAGGGCAGCACCAGAUCAGCCACUGACGGGUGUAUUGCACUGCUGGUCUAAAUUCUGAUUUUAGAUUUUAGGGCAACUGGACUUGCUGUCUACUGACCAGCAAACCAGAAGGCAGAGGGAAAUGGAGAGGGGAAAGUAGAAGCCAGAAGCAGAUGUAGUCCUGGUUUAAAUCAGACAAUUUCAGGACCCCACAUGAGAUCAGUCCCACCACCAAGAGAAGCCCUCAUUUACCCUCUCAUUGAAAAGGACAGAGGCUUAGAGCUUGACGGGGGAAGGUAGCUACGGGCAAGGAGAGCUACCUGGGGCUCCACGGGGGGACUGAAGAUUUUAGGAGGCAGGAAGAGAGGCACCGAAAGUAAGAGUAGGAUACAGACAGGCAGAAGGGAGGUCGUGUUGCCUUGGAGUGCCCACCGUUUAGCAAGCAGCUCAUUUCUCCCCCUUGAAGUGUGACCAAUGCUUGCCUGAAAGCACUUUGCGUGGCCGCAGCCUGGGGCUCUGUACUCACUAUUUGG
Hippopotamus amphibius kiboko is the source of this 3327-nucleotide long non-coding RNA. RefSeq lists it as uncharacterized. The transcript is spliced from 4 exons. Lineage: Eukaryota; Metazoa; Chordata; Mammalia; Artiodactyla; Hippopotamidae. The record is from RefSeq and is a predicted model, not a curated record.